RNAcentral lists this long non-coding RNA (1210 nucleotides) under Calidris pugnax (ruff). Its description in RNAcentral is "lncRNA (ENSCPUG00000012827.1)". The record is from RNAcentral. Lineage: Eukaryota; Metazoa; Chordata; Aves; Charadriiformes; Scolopacidae.
CGGGGCUCAGUCUGCGCCCUGGGAGCUGACGGGGCUCAAGCCGGGCCAUAUCCUGCGGCAGGCGGUGGUGGGGUUGAGACGGGAUGGGGGACUGGAGCAUGCCCAUCAGCUCGCUGGGCGAGGAGGUGAUGGCCCGGCUCUGCCAGCUCCUGGAUAACGCUGGCCGGGGCUGGCGCAAGCUGGCCGAGGUGGCCGGGGCGGAGAAACGCUUCAAGUGCAGCGCAGAGGAGCUGGAGAUGUGCUCGCUGAAGGUGCUGGAGCCCCAUGGCAGCCCCACGGAGUGCCUCCUGCAGCUCCUGGCCGAGCGUGACUGCACCCUCAAAUACCUGCUGGGCUGCCUGGAGAGGAUGGGGCAUACACGGGCCUGCCAGGUUCUCAGCAGCGCUGUCCAGGACAUGAUCCGCAUCACAGUGCAGCCGGAGUCGCAGGUGGUGAUGGAGGGGAUGCGGGUGUUCCUGACCUGCUGGGCCACCGGUCCCCCGGGGCUCGCCUACCAGUGGUUCUGUGGGAAGCGGGAGGUGCCUGGAGCCACGGCCCCAGAGCUGGUGAUCAACGCGGCCACCCCGGGCCAGCCCGAGUGGUACAUCUGCCGGGUGAACUGUGGGGCCGCCUUCGCCUUCUCCAGGUGGGCCCACGUCCAGGUGGAGAGGAGCAGCAGCCCCAGCUCAGCCAGUGGCUACUGCCCAAGCAUGGCAGGGCUGCAGAUCCUGCAUCAGCCGCAGCCGUGCCGCCUGGCUGAGGGGGACACGCUGGUGCUGGAGUGCAGAGCCAUCGGCAACCCCCCGCCCCAGUACCAGUGGUUCAGGAACCAGCGCCCUGUGGAGGGUGCACAGGCGCCCCGGCUGCAGGUGAAGCUGGUGACGACAGCCGAGCGGGGCUGCUACUCCUGCCGCGUGUUCAACCUCUUCCACGAGGUGUGGAGCCGGGAAGUGGACGUGGAGAUCGGCCCACGGCUCUUUGCCUCCGGAGGCUCCUGGCAGGAGGGGGAUAGAGGCUCUCCAGAGCACGGCAGUCCCGGCCAGCUGUAUGCCACCGACAAAGUGGCCCUGCUGAUCGGCAACAUGCACUACCUGCACCACAAGCAGCUGAAGGCGCCCAUGGUGGACGUGCACGCCCUCAGUGCCCUCCUCCGCCAGCUCGACUUCAAGGUGGUCUCUCUGCUGGACCUGUGCAAGGCAGAGAUGCAGAUGGCUGUCAACGAGUUCCUCCU